GUAAAGCUAUAGAAAAGCAUAGAAGGGAAGUGAUACAUAGUGGGACUUAGAAAAAUUUCAACUGUUUCGUUCGUGUACCGAUCUCUAAGAGGAGUGGGAGUUGUUGAACUGAAUUGGAAUACAUUACUAUCAAGAAAUGUCUGCUACUUCUAUGGAAAGUUUUGCAAUUUAUGGGCCUACUCAGAGAGGGAACAACUUAAAUGCAAAUAUUUCAAAGAACACAGAGGCAAAAAGAAACAACAGAUUAUUUCUAUACUGGUUGGACACGACAUUGCUUUAUGGUAUCCCACGUAUGGAAAGUAUGUAAGAAGUUCAAUCGUCUAAAGAGGGUACAACAAAAAAGAAAAAUCACGACGGCGACGUCAUUGUGGAGGCCGACGGGUGGUGGCUCGCGGCGACCCGUCUCCUUGUAGAGCUGCUCGGCGCAAUCGUCGGAUAAUCAGGUCGAAUCUUCUAUGUCGCCAUGUCGAGAACUCCCGAGAAUUGGUGCUGGGAGCCGGUGAGUCGCGGUCGCUGUCUAAAUGAUGUUGAGGUUCGCUCGUCGGUGUGGCGGAAGCUUGUGCUGGCAUCCCAGCUCUUGCCCCGGGGAUGGUAAUCAGCAAGAUGUCUCCUCCUCUUCCGUCCGGAACAAGAGUAACCAAACGGUUGGCGUUUGUGUGGCUGGUCAUCUUCUUGAGAUUUUAUUUUUCCGUUCACCUUCGGGUGUAAAGACGAGCGUGCGGUCUGUCUGAACGCUGGUUGUCGAGUUGCCGAGCAACGUGUUGGGUUGUCAAUAGCAGCUUCGGGUUGGUGGAAGUCGGUGAGUGUGUUAAAGAGCGUCGUGUUUCGUCGGCGAAAACUUUGCCUUCCCCCCAAGUGUCGUAUUCUUUCGACGCAUCGGAUAGAGAAAGAAGAUGGAAGGAAGAUAUGUGAAAGAAGAAUAUAGAAGAAAUGGGGCGUAUGGGAGCUACCACGGAGAAGAAUAAGACCAAUUUGUAAACCUAAACUGUAUAUAGUUAUGCUUUAAAAUCGAACAAAUUCUACAUGUACCGAAAAACUUGUAUGCUGUAAUACAGAUUGCUUUUGUUCUCCCUUUUA
Daphnia magna is the source of this 1077-nucleotide long non-coding RNA. RefSeq lists it as uncharacterized. The record is from RefSeq and is a predicted model, not a curated record. The transcript is spliced from 4 exons. Lineage: Eukaryota; Metazoa; Arthropoda; Branchiopoda; Diplostraca; Daphniidae.